UUUUAUUGAACGAACAAAACACAAUAUAUUAGGAUAUUAUUCCUCCAGGUUAUAAAUGCUACAUUGUGGUUAAUGGAUCAGUAAUAUAAUAUAAGAACAUUUAUGGGGAGAACUUUGAAUUAUAGCAAAUGGCGCCUAAAAUGUUUGAACGGUCAACCUAACUGUACUUCUUCCUCGAGCGCCUAACCUGCUGUUAAAAUCCUGCGGUGCCAUUGGCUGGCCAUAGUGUUGACGUUUACCAUUCCGCCGCCUGCCAUUGGGGAUCAAGCCCGUCAAUGGGACGCAAGGGGGCGGGACCAGCGCCCAAGAGGAAGGGAGAGGCCGUUCGAAUUCCCUCCUUCGCCACAUUCCAGUUUCUCCCCUCCCCCACACUCCACCUCCGUGGCGAGGGCGGGACCACUCGAACGCUCAUUGGUCCGCACGGCCUGUCCGUCAACGGCCUAGGCCCGCCCGCCGCGCC
Non-coding RNA from Pelobates cultripes (western spadefoot toad), 460 nucleotides. NCBI's taxonomy places the organism in Eukaryota, Metazoa, Chordata, Amphibia, Anura, Pelobatidae. The record is from the annotation of a GenBank genome assembly.